GACGAACGCUGGCGGCGUGCCUAAUACAUGCAAGUAGAACGCUGAAGAGAGGAGCUUGCUCUUCUUGGAUGAGUUGCGAACGGGUGAGUAACGCGUAGGUAACCUGCCUUGUAGCGGGGGAUAACUAUUGGAAACGAUAGCUAAUACCGCAUAACAAUGUAUGACACAUGUCAUUUAUUUGAAAGGGGCAAUUGCUCCACUACAAGAUGGACCUGCGUUGUAUUAGCUAGUAGGUGAGGUAAUGGCGCACCUAGGCGACGAUACAUAGCCGGCCUGAGAGGGGGGUCGGCCACACCGGGAAUGAGGAACGGCCCAGACGACUACGGGAGGCAGCAGUAGGGAAUCUUCGGCAAUGGGGGCAACCCUGACCGAGCAACGCCGCGUGAGGGAAGAAGGGUUUCGGAUCGGAAAGCUCGGUUGUAAGUGAAGAAAGGGAGGGGGAGGGGAAAGUGCACAUUGUGACGGUAGCUUACCAGAAAGGGACGGCUAACUACGUG
RNAcentral lists this ribosomal RNA (497 nucleotides) under uncultured bacterium. RNAcentral describes it as "partial 16S ribosomal RNA". It matches the Rfam family "Bacterial small subunit ribosomal RNA", at positions 28 to 507 of the family's 1533-position model. The record is from RNAcentral.